RNAcentral lists this ribosomal RNA (433 nucleotides) under uncultured bacterium. RNAcentral describes it as "partial 16S ribosomal RNA". It matches the Rfam family "Bacterial small subunit ribosomal RNA", at positions 29 to 507 of the family's 1533-position model. The record is from RNAcentral.
AACGAACGCUGGCGGCAUGCCUAACACAUGCAAGUCGAACGAGACCUUCGGGUCUAGUGGCGCACGGGUGCGUAACGCGUGGGAACCUGCCCUUAGGUUCGGAAUAACUCCCCGAAAGGGGUGCUAAUACCGGAUAAUGUCUUCGGACCAAAGAUUUAUCGCCUUGGGAUGGGCCCGCGUUGGAUUAGCUAGUUGGUAGGGUAAAAGCCUACCAAGGCGACGAUCCAUAGCUGGUCUGAGAGGAUGAUCAGCCACACUGGGACUGAGACACGGCCCAGACUCCUACGGGAGGCAGCAGUGGGGAAUAUUGGACAAUGGGCGAAAGCCUGAUCCAGCAAUGCCGCGUGAGUGAUGAAGGCAUUAGGGUUGUAAAGCUCUUUUACACGGGAUGAUAAUGACAGUACCGGGAGAAUAAGCUCCGGCUAACUCCGUG